This 465-nucleotide ribosomal RNA is filed under the name uncultured bacterium. RNAcentral describes it as "partial 16S ribosomal RNA". It matches the Rfam family "Bacterial small subunit ribosomal RNA", at positions 28 to 507 of the family's 1533-position model. The record is from RNAcentral.
GACGAACGCUGGCGGCGUGCUUAACACAUGCAAGUCGAACGGAAAGGCCCUGCUUGCAGGGUACUCGAGUGGCGUACGGGUGAGUAACACGUGGGUGAUCUGCCCUGCACUUCGGGAUAAGCCUGGGAAACUGGGUCUAAUACCGGAUAGGAGCCAUUUUUAGUGUGAUGGUUGGAAAGUUUUUUCGGUGUAGGAUGAGCUCGCGGCCUAUCAGCUUGUUGGUGGGGUAAUGGCCUACCAAGGCGGCGACGGGUAGCCGGCCUGAGAGGGUGGACGGCCACAUUGGGACUGAGAUACGGCCCAGACUCCGACGGGAGGCAGCAGGGGGGAAUAUUGCACAAUGGGCGCAAGCCUGAUGCAGCGACGCCGCGGGGGGGAUGACGGCCUUCGGGUUGUAAACUCCUUUCGCUAGGGACGAAGCUUUUUGUGACGGUACCUAGAGAAGAAGCACCGGCUAACUACGUG